Molecule: ribosomal RNA, 253 nt
Filed under: uncultured bacterium
Lineage: Bacteria
Description: partial 16S ribosomal RNA
Rfam family: Bacterial small subunit ribosomal RNA
Source: RNAcentral
UACAGAGGUCCCGAGCGUUGUUCGGAUUCACUGGGCGUAAAGGGUGCGUAGGUGGUGGAGUAAGUUUGAUGUGAGAUCUCCGGGCUUAACCCGGAAACUGCAUUGAAUACUAUUUUGCUGGAGGUUUGGAGGGGGGACUGGAAUUCUCGGUGUAGCAGUGAAAUGCGUAGAUAUCGAGAGGAACACCAGUGGCGAAGGCGAGUCCCUGGACAACACCUGACACUGAGGCACGAAAGCUAGGGGAGCAAACAGG